This is a long non-coding RNA of Cyclopterus lumpus (lumpfish), 1361 nucleotides long. RefSeq lists it as uncharacterized. Lineage: Eukaryota; Metazoa; Chordata; Actinopteri; Perciformes; Cyclopteridae. The record is from RefSeq and is a predicted model, not a curated record. The transcript is spliced from 4 exons.
CGGGGAGCUCAAACUUCUUGUAGUGCAAGUCCAAGUACGUGCACACGCGCUGGUACACUUUGUUGAACGGUAUCUUACUGACGGGGUCCUGCAGGGGAGCAAACGAGACAUGCAGACGACCCACAAUACCUUGGUGGUGCAGUGACCGCUGCAGAUGGUUGCCUCCACCAGGUGACACCUGGGACAGCCCUCCUUCUCCAGAGACACCGUCUGGUUGACCGGCUGGCAGGACGGCAGCUGGAAGGCCUCUGGGGGAUGGGAGAUGUGGCAGUGUGGUACAGAGCCACGGGCCAAAUGGUAGAUGUGGCUCCCAGAAACAGACUCCAUAUCAAGGGGGACGUCACUCUUCUGACCUGGACAGCCAUCUGCAGGAGGCAAAGUGGAUAGUCAACUAAUAACUCACUGACAUGGAUAACUUCGGCCUCCGUGGCUUCUUUUUGAAGGGGGAUUCGUCAUCAGUGCUACGUUGACCUCUCAUACCAUUUCCUCUGAAGCUUUUUUUUUUUUUUUCCCUCUUUGUUUAAUUAGUGAUAUAAAUAGUGUCUUUAUGAGACAUUGAGAGCUGCUUUGGCUCAGUAUCACAAGAUUCACACAGAAAUGUAUUCUGUAGUACACGCGCCUGUUAGAGCCGGCUGAUAAUGACACACAGUUAAAUAGUUUAAGAUGGGAAAGUGUGUCCCAUGUGGUCUAUAACUUAGGGUACCUGGUUUUCACCUGGGGUGCCUUAAGACUUCAGUUCGUUUCCUAAAUGGAAAAGGCUCCUUGGAUAAACGAACAUCUAGUGAUGUGUUGACUGCUAAAUGCUAUUAUUGCAUGUUAUAAGAGCCGGGUGUGGAAAUACUUAUGUGUGGUCAAGACUUCCAUCUUGACCUCAGAGCAGGAUGAGGGCUGACAGGAAGUAGCCUGCUGCCGCCGGUAAAAUAAUCCUGUUUUAUAAGUGUGGGAUCACUGUGACACGUUGACUUCCCCCUGACAUGAAUCAUUUAUGACGUUGAUCCAUGUUGUUUACGGAAUGAUGGUUUAACAUGUGCAGCAACUGUAUUGUGUGUAGAAUAUAAAAUAAUUUGUCAAAUUGUACCGUUUUAUUUUUUCAUGCUGGGUGAAGUAUAAAACAAUAAUGAAUAUGAAAUAGGCACACGUAUGUUGCAGGAUUUGAAGUUGCUCGUUUGGAGAGAAAAAAAAAACAUACAUGCAGUUUUAUUAGCAAAGAAUAUGCACAUUUGAUGUAAAUAUAUUAUAGUAAGGCCUUUCUUCUUUUUUUAUUUUGGUGAAAAAUGUUAUUGCAUUAUGUGAUUGCAAAUAACAAACAAAAAAGGGGGAACAUUGGGACAUUACACAGUACACACAAGCAUUAUAUUGCA